CAACACUCUAGCUCCUUCCAACACUUCUCCUAGAGCUGCUUGCUCAACAGGCACUGGUUCCCGUGGUGGCUUCCAUUUCCCAGUCUCUACUCAGGAGAUUGGUUCCACGAUGCCUGCUGAUACCGAAAUCCUUGGAUUCUCAAGUCCCGAAUAUAAAACCGCAUAGAUC
Hipposideros armiger (great roundleaf bat) is the source of this 169-nucleotide long non-coding RNA. RefSeq lists it as uncharacterized. The record is from RefSeq and is a predicted model, not a curated record. The transcript is spliced from 3 exons. Lineage: Eukaryota; Metazoa; Chordata; Mammalia; Chiroptera; Hipposideridae.